UGUGCCCAUCUGAGGAGCAGCACAAAGGGCUAACCAAGAGCGGGGAGCCUGGGAGCGGGAGUCGAGAGGGGCUCUUUCAGAACGGGAGCAAAUGGUAUUAGGACUUCAAUGGCAACAACCCAUGUGCCAAAUCGGUUUGUCCUUCACAUGAAAUCGCCGGUGUUCCAGAAUUACACGACAAAGAACCUGCACUUUCCAGGAGGCCGCUGCAGAAGAACCCACAAUCCCAAAUGUGCCUUCAAGAGCACGGGAGGAUUAAAUAAUGCAUGAAAGAUUUCCUCACUGGUCUGUCAGCCUUCAAUUUUGGAACAUACAGAGCAUGACUCAGAGUCUCAGGAGCGGCAGGAGCAGUGAGCAGUGUCGCCGACUUUCUGGAUAUAAUUUUUUAACAGAAAAAUCCAUUUCGGGCAUAAUAACUUUUACUUUCAUUUUACCGUAUUUUACAGACUAGAGCUGCACGGGUCAAAACUGAAGCAACUGGUCACGUACGGCUAUUGAAUAGUGAAAACGUGGCUAGUUUGAAUCCAGAUGUGCAGUUUGUAUAAAAUAAUGCAUCAAAAUCUUGAAGACUUCAUAUAAAAGAAAGAAGGAAAAUUGUUCAUUAAUAUUUUCACUUAAUGUAUAUUGAGGAACUUUGUAAGUCUGCGCCUCCUCAAGAUGAAAGGCAGAAAGUGUGCUCUCCAGCUUUCCGUACACGUGUGGAGUAGACAGUUGACCCUGGUUCUGCCUGUCAGAUCUGCCCUUGUAAAGCUUGACUUGAAGGCUAUGAGGUAAAUAAAUCAAGUAACUAUUGGCUUAGCUUUGGGGAGAGAGCCACCACCUACCCUCCAGCACAGCAGCAAGGAAAAGUCUAGUGCCUCCUAGUGUCAGAAAUGGGAAGUGUGCAGUCUGUGUGCAGGAAGUUUGAGUGCUGUCUGAUGUAGAUUGGAACUGUGGAGCAGCCUUCAAGUUACAAAAUAAAGUGUCUGUGUAAUACUCAAUACCCUUUAUAAAUUACUUGUCUGCAAAAUCAGGUGAGUAUAGUUCUGUGUUUUGUUUUGUUUUUUUGUUUUGGUUUUGGCUUUGGCUUUUGGUUUUUGGUUUGUUUGUUUGUUUUUGCUCCAGGGAACCCUGGCAUCAUGGAGAAAAGGAGAAGAAAGGCGAGGGGAAAGGGGAUAGCUAUAGUUAGACAAUUCCAACAAGGAAUUCUAAGGCCCAGAGUUAGGACAAAGACAGACAGGAAGGAAGUGAAGCCCCAGAAUGUUCUCAGGAACAUUUGCUGACGGAUGUGGCUGAGGAAGAAGGGAAUUCAUCACUAAGAACUGGACGGUGCCCUCGGGUUCCUGGUAGGGA
Molecule: long non-coding RNA, 1332 nt
Organism: Peromyscus californicus insignis
Lineage: Eukaryota; Metazoa; Chordata; Mammalia; Rodentia; Cricetidae
Exons: 3
Source: RefSeq, a predicted model, not a curated record